CCUACGGGAGGCAGCAGUCGAGAAUCAUUCACAAUGGGGGAAACCCUGAUGGUGCGACGCCGCGUGGGGGAAUGAAGGUCUUCGGAUUGUAAACCCCUGUUAUGUGGGAGCAAAUUAAAAAGAUAGUACCACAAGAGGAAGAGACGGCUAACUCUGAUCCAGCAGCCGCGGUAAUACAGAGGUCUCAAGCGUUGUUCGGAAUCACUGGGCGUAAAGGGUGCGUAGGCUGUUUCGUAAGUCGUGUGUGAAAGGCGCGGGCUCAACCCGCGGACGGCACAUGAUACUGCGAGACUAGAGUAAUGGAGAGGGAAGCGGAAUGCGCGGUGUAGCAGUGAAAUGCGUAGAUAUCGAGAGGAACACUCGUGGCGAAGGCGGGUUCCUGGACAUUAACUGACGCUGAGGCACGAAGGCCAGGGGAGCGAAAGGGAUUAGAUACCCUUGUAGUC
RNAcentral lists this ribosomal RNA (446 nucleotides) under uncultured bacterium. Its description in RNAcentral is "partial 16S ribosomal RNA". It matches the Rfam family "Bacterial small subunit ribosomal RNA", at positions 338 to 795 of the family's 1533-position model. The record is from RNAcentral.